UGAACCAGCCAAGUAGCGUGCAGGAUGACGGCCCUAUGGGUUGUAAACUGCUUUUAUGUGGGAAUAAAGUGGCGCACGUGUGCGCCAUUGCAUGUACCUCAUGAAUAAGGACCGGCUAAUUCCGUGCCAGCAGCCGCGGUAAUACGGAAGGUCCGGGCGUUAUCCGGAUUUAUUGGGUUUAAAGGGAGUGUAGGCGGUCUGUUAAGCGUGUUGUGAAAUUUAGGUGCUCAACAUUUAACUUGCAGCGCGAACUGUCAGACUUGAGUACACGCAGCGCAGGCGGAAUUCAUGGUGUAGCGGUGAAAUGCUUAGAUAUCAUGAGGAACUCCGAUCGCGAAGGCAGCCUGCGGGAGUGUUACUGACGCUUAAGCUCGAAGGUGCGGGUAUCGAACAGGAUUAGAUACCCUGGUAGUCCGCACAGUAAACGAUGGAUGCCCGCCGUUGGCGCCCUGCGCCUGCGGCCAAGCGAAAGCAUUAAGCAUCCCACCUGGGGAGUACGCCGGCAACGGUGAAACUCAAAGGAAUUGACGGGGGCCCGCACAAGCGGAGGAACAUGUGGUUUAAUUCGAUGAUACGCGAGGAACCUUACCCGGGCUUGAAUUGCAGUCGCUGCCCACAGAGACGUGGGCUUCCCUUCGGGGCGUCUGUGAAGGUGCUGCAUGGUUGUCGUCAGCUCGUGCCGUGAGGUGUCGGCUUAAGUGCCAUAACGAGCGCAACCCCCUUUCCCAGUUGCCAUCGGGUCAUGCCGGGCACUCUGGGGACACUGCCA
This 769-nucleotide ribosomal RNA is filed under the name human oral bacterium C64. RNAcentral's name for it is "bacterial SSU rRNA". It matches the Rfam family "Bacterial small subunit ribosomal RNA", at positions 384 to 1154 of the family's 1533-position model. The record is from RNAcentral.